GGACCUUUAGCUCAACUGGUUAGAGCAGACGGCUCAUAACCGUCCGGUCGUAGGUUCGAAUCCUACAAGGUCCA
RNAcentral lists this transfer RNA (74 nucleotides) under Bacillus cereus group sp. N21. RNAcentral's name for it is "tRNA-Ile". It matches the Rfam family "tRNA". From Rfam's summary of the family: Transfer RNA (tRNA) molecules are approximately 80 nucleotides in length. Lineage: Bacteria; Bacillati; Bacillota; Bacilli; Caryophanales; Bacillaceae. The record is from RNAcentral.